This 253-nucleotide ribosomal RNA is filed under the name uncultured bacterium. RNAcentral's name for it is "partial 16S ribosomal RNA". It matches the Rfam family "Bacterial small subunit ribosomal RNA", at positions 524 to 776 of the family's 1533-position model. The record is from RNAcentral.
UACGAAGGGUGCAAACGUUGCUCGGAAUCAUAGGGCGUAAAGCGCACGUAGGCGGCUCCGCAAGUCGGAUGUGAAAUCCCUCGGCUCAACCGAGGACGUGCAUCCGAAACUGCAGAGCUUGAGUAUGGAAGAGGGUCGCGGAAUCCCCGGUGUAGAGGUGAAAUUCGUAGAUAUCGGGGGGAACACCAGUGGCGAAGGCGGCGACCUGGGCCAAUACUGACGCUGAGGUGCGAAAGCGUGGGGAGCAAACAGG